Long non-coding RNA from Panonychus citri (citrus red mite), 1949 nucleotides. RefSeq lists it as uncharacterized. The transcript is spliced from 8 exons. The record is from RefSeq and is a predicted model, not a curated record. Lineage: Eukaryota; Metazoa; Arthropoda; Arachnida; Trombidiformes; Tetranychidae.
UUAAAUUUAAAUUGUUUCGUUUUUUAAUUAACUUUUAACUAGACAAUUUAUUGAUUGUCUUUAAUUAAAUUUCUCUAUGCAGUUGAUUGGUUUAACAUUGAAUAACAAUAAAUCUUUUUCCAUUUUUUAUUCCAAGUGUCCCUAAGGAAUUUUUGUCCAAUCUUUAGGUUAAUUGGAAGGAAAUUUCAAUGAACAUCUUGAAAUGAACGAUAGUAAUUGUAGAACGUUUUCUUUCCACAAAGAGAAUAAGAUGGUCUCUAUACUCUCUCCGUGUUAUUUGGUUCGAAAGGAGCAAAAAAGGAACGAGUUGUAAUGUGUAUUCCAGUUAGAAAGUCAUUAUCGAACCGCAAAUCAUUUCUUCUUAAACCAUUUGACUAAUAAUCAACUAACAAAUAAAAGAUGGAGGAAAAAAAAGGAAGGAGAAAAAAGAUAAAUAACAAGAGAGAUACAGAUUUAUUUACAUACAGCGAUACAUCUAAAUAAAUCAGUUCACUGUUGCUGUUGUAACCUCUCAAGUUCAACUCUCAUCAAUUAUACAUGGACAUACUUUCUCAGUUAAUUUAUCUCUUUCACUUUCCAUCUUUAACACUCAAACAACAGUCUUUGUACACUUGAUAUAAUUGAUUAGUAUCAAUUAAUUGGUCUUCUAUUGGUACUGGAAAAAGAGAAAGGAUUGAGUCUCCAUCAACUGUUACCAAGAGAAUAUUUUUGAUAUUUUAAAAUUUUUCUCCAUCAAUUUUUAUUACACAUCAUGUGUAUAUUUUACCGGCUCAUUUUGUCAACAAUCAACAAUCUCCCAUAUCAAUUGCCUAAAUCGUUAAUUACUCUUAUUAAGGAAGAUGCUGAUUAAUUAAUUAACUGGUAUGGUUGAUGAUUCCAAUUUGUUAUUAACUCAACAGAAAUAAACUCGUAAGGUCCUUUUCCAUUGGGAUAUAACAUGGUAGAUGUAAAACCCAAAAUCAUCUCAAGCAAGAUUCAUCUGGGAUAAUUAAUACAUGGUGUAAAUUAAUAAAGCCAUUGGAAUAAAUAACAAGCCUGUUUAACAUGGAUACUAAUCAGUCCAAGUUGAUGUUACCUUGAUUUUGAAAGUAUCUCAAUGCCAUGGCCAUGAUGUUUGAUUAUCGCUGAUGAUAAUUGUUUACACAAAUUGAUUGUUCACAGUUUCAUUUACUAUCUGGAUUUUUUCAAAGUAUCUUAUGGAAAACUAUUCAACCUGUUGAACGAUUUUCUUCAGAAGUUGAUAUGGAACAGAAAUUCGUAUACACUCAUUGAUAAUCAUGGAGAUUAUAUGUUGAUAUAGAUUCUGUAUGAAUACUCUGCUGAAUACCUCCUAUAUUCAUGACUGGAUAUCAUGAAUUUUAUCAACUUGAACAGCAACUUGUGGCUUUUUCCUUCUUUGGUUAACUGUUGUUGGUUUACUAUUCCAAUCAAUCUGUUUACCUCAACCAAAUACAAUCUCAUCCAUCCAUUGAUCCAUUUCUAAAUCCUCAUAACAACCAAGGAUAAUACAUGUAAUCUACCUUUCUAAUCAUCAUCAUCAUCGGAAUAAGGAUACAUCUUAAUACAAGGAAAAGCUUAAUUGUAAUAAUCGUAAAAAUUGUCUGUCACAUUAAUAAAAUAACCAUUAACCUCAAUGGUCCAAGAUCAAAUUGCUUACGAUUGUAAGUUAAUAGGAAAUUAAAUUAUCCAUUGAUAACAAUAAUAAUCUAAAUCCUCUUAAGACAGCUGAUGAUGAUCCUUUAAAGUGUCUUGAACAUGUUUACCAUCAAUUAUCAUCCUUUUGUUAUGUUACAUCACCUUAAAUUGUUUACCAUCAAUGAUAAUUAACAUUGUAUUAUAAGGAAAAUGAUGAGAUGCUAAUCAAAAGUAACUCAUUUUAUCCGAAACAUUUUCUUGUACAACUAAUUAGAGUAAAUCUAACAGGUAAUAGAUUCUAAUUGAUAACUCGU